Non-coding RNA from Cyprinus carpio (common carp), 798 nucleotides. NCBI's taxonomy places the organism in Eukaryota, Metazoa, Chordata, Actinopteri, Cypriniformes, Cyprinidae. The record is from the annotation of a RefSeq genome assembly.
UGUGACUUUGCUGCAUCAGCUUCCUCUUUUUAUAACAUGGCAAUGGAUAUUGUGUCUAAACUGGGUUUUAUCUUCAUGUUUGCUCUAACAGAAUUCUGUUGGUGUCAGACACUGACUGAGUCUGAGUCAGUGGUCAUUAAACCUGGAGGAUCUCACAGACUUACCUGUACAGUCUCUGGAUUUAGUAGUGACUAUGCCAUGUCCUGGAUCAGACAGACUGCAGGAGGAGGUCUGGAGUGGCUGGCUUACAUCUCAGAUGGCAGUGUUUCUAAAUACUACUCUCAGUCUGUUCAGGGACGCUUCGCCAUCUCCAGAGACAACAGCAAGAAACAGAUGUAUCUGCAGAUGAAUAAUAUGAAGAAUGAAGACACUGCUGUAUAUUAUUGUGCAAGAAAACCACAAUGACAAAUACAACUACAGUACUGUACAAAAUCUCAAUGCAGUAAUCAGAAAUCAUUUUUAAUUUGCCUGUAUUACUGAACUACAAGCUACUGAAGCUCUACAACUUCACAAUUUUUUACAUUAUUUUACUGAUCACAAAUAUCCUCUUAAUUAUUACAUUACAAUAAUUGUAAUGAACAAUCAAUAAACCGAUAAAUGGAACAUUUACUGUAUACCCAUUCAUGACCAAAUGCCGUCUUUAUAGUGAAUAUUGUAAAAGGGUUUAAAAAAAUGCAAGAACAGGAGCAUGUUUACAUAAGAACAACAGACACUAAACAUUAUAGGCUAACGCUGAAAUGCAUCAAAUUGUUUCCUGUUUGGUAAUGAUUAUGAUUGUAUGUGUUUGGAAGAUUUUCA